CUGACCCCUCUCGAUGUGGAGGAGCAGCGGCUCUACUCUGAGCUCCUCCCGGGUGACCAAGCUUUUCACCCUAUCUCUAAGGGAUCGCCCAGCCACCCUGCGGAGAAAGCUAAUUUCGGCCGCCUGUAUCCGGGAUCUUGUCCUUUCGGUCAUGACCCAAAGAUCAUGACCAUAGGUGAGAGUAGGAACGUAGAUUGACCGGUAAAUCGAGAGCUUCGCCUUGUCGCUCAGCUCUUUCUUCACCACGACAGACCGAUACAUUGACCGCAUUACUGCAGAAGCUGCACCGAUCCGUCAGUCAAUCUCCCGUUCCAUCCUUCCCUCACUCGUGAACCAAGACCCCUAGAUACUUAAACUCCUCCAAACCUGACACCCUCCAGCCCCUGGCUGCGCCUAGAUAUUCUGAUAUUUCAAAAUCUUAAGUUUAAUGAUGCACUGUAGCACCCACAAAAAACAUUGGAGUAGUGAUUUGGUGGUCAUAGGCCUUUAAACUAAACAACUAUCAUGUUAGUCCCCAAUUACUUUCUACAAGGCUGUUGGUGACAACUUGUCAGUCCACUAAAUGUCACAGAUCACCGUCUACUUAGUAAGCCUUAGCGGUGUAAUUAUUGUGUUUAGCAACAAAAAUAAAAGAACAAGUAUUAGUAAAGAGCUGGAUUCUCGAGCCCCAAAAAACCAGGGAUCAAGUGCGUAAUCUUGGUGUUCUGAUAGACACCAAAACAGCAUUCUAUCAUCUAAAAAAUAUAGCCAGAAUCAAUGGCUUGGUGUCCCAAAAAGACUAAGAGAAGCUCAUCCAUGCUUUUAUCUCUAGUAGGGUUGACUACUGUAAUGGCCUCUCAACUGGACUCACGAAAAAGACUGUAAAACAACUGCAACUAGAAUGUUAACCAGGACCAAGGGAACAUAGCACAUCACUCCGGUUCUUAAAUCUUUGCAUUGGCUUCCAGUCAGUUAUAGAAUAGAAAAGAAAAGUGGUGCUUUUAGUUUAUACAUCUCUGAAUGGUUUAGGACCCAAAUACAUUUCUGAUAUGUUUGAAGAAUAUAAACCGAGCAGGGCUCUUAGAUCCAUGAACACAGGUCAGCUAGUAGAGCCCAGAGUCCAAACUAAACAUGGAGAAGCAGCGUUUAGCACUGGAAUAAACUACCAGAAGAUCUUAGACGUGCCCCAAACGUAUCCAUUUUUAAAUCCAGGUUAAAAACACUUCUCUUUUCACGUGCCUAUAGUGACGUCCUCUGCCAGCGCGGACCCGCACCUUUAUGAGGUAUUGUUUGUCACUCCGCCAUUCAUUACGGAGCCUUCUAUUUUCGCUAUCGCCUAGUGCUUCGUUUGUAUCGAUUCCCCGUGUUUUGACCAUCGCCUGCUCUCCUCCUUGACUCCGUCUCUAGCCCUGUGAUUCUGUAUUGAUUCGUAUCUCGUGAUUCUGACCCUAGCCUGUACUACAGUCCUUUGCCUUGCCCAACCGGGACUUCGUCUCCCUGAAUAACCGCCUGCCAUUGGAACCAGCAUCUCCCUCUCUCCCUUUCCCCACUUAUUACACCUAUGACUGAGCACUUAAACUUAACCACACUGUGUAGAUUUAUGUUUUUAUCCCAUUUUAUUUCUUUAUAUGGUUUCUUAUUGUAUUUUUUAUUAUUAUUAUUGUCUAACCAUUAGAAGACCAGGUGUUGGGCAAAGCUGAAAAUUUGACUCUUCAGAGAAGAUGACCUUACUCCAUUCCUUUAUGGUCCAAUCCUUAUGGUCUUUUGCAAACUUCAGCCUGGCUUCUUUGCUUCUCAUUGAUGAAGGGCUUUUUUCUAGCUUUGCACAACUUCAGCCCUGCCCCUAGGAGCCUGUUUCAAACCGUCCUCGCCAUGCACUUCAUCCCAGCUGCUGUUUGCCAUUCUUUUUGUAGGUCACUUGAUGUCAUCCUACAGUUGUUGAGUGAGAUUUGAAUGAGUUGAUGGUCAUCUCGGUCAGUAGACAGUCGUUUUCGCCCUCUGCCAGUCUGUAGCUUUGUUUUCCCAAAUGUCUGUUGGUUGACUUGUUCUUAUGAACGUCCGUCUUUGAAAUUUUCAGAAUGGAAGCGACAUUGUGGCUACAGUACCUAACUAGCUACAUUUUGUGUAUUCACUUGCUUAAUACUGGUGACAAACUUUAGCUGUUAUCAACCCAUUGCUGGCUAAAUAAUCCAUUGUGUCGCCAGGCAUUUGUUUAUACAAUUCGAUUUUCGCCUUACAAGCUCAUCUGGAAUAGUUGUAAAAGGCAUGUUGAGACAUACCAUGGCCUCUAAGAACUCCGCCCACCCUAAAGGACUUCUAGCAUCAGCAAUUUUGUUGGUUGCUUGUCACACCUUUAACCAGAUCCAACAGGUGCGAACCCAUGAUUAUCUCUCCUUUGAAAAUAAUUCACAGUUUAAAGUCCAUGAAGUCAAAUCUUUAGACCUGAGCAUUCUAUUUAAAAUAUGUUCAACAUUCUUUUUACUCCUCAUAGAUACAUUUUCCAAAAUGUCAUCUUAGAAGGUUAACAUUUUGAUCAGCAGUUUGAUUAGUCUCACCCGUAUUUACUACAUCAGCCCCAGUCUCAAACCCGGGUAGACUUGAAGUCAGUGUAUUUGUGUCAAGCUCACCCUGUCUCAAAACAGUCAAAAAUCUUUGUAAAAUGCAGAGGAUCUUUUAGCUUUUUCAUGUAAAUCCACAUCAGUCUUCAUCAGUAUAUUGCGUAUCGAUGAGUCCAAAUCAUUUACAACAGAUUUUUUUACAUCGGUGCUAGUUGUUUUGUAUUCUCAAUCAAAUUUCAAAUGUAUUUAUAAAGCCCUUUUUACAACAGCAGUUGUCACAAAGUGCUCUUACAAAACACCCGGCCUUAAACCCUAUGGAGCAAACAACAGUAGUGUUGAAUUUUAGUGGCUAGGAAAAACUCCCUAAGAAGGCCUACAUUUAGGAAGAAACAUAGAGAGGAACCAGGCUAAGAGGUGUGACCAGUCCUCUUCUGGCUGUGCCAGGUGAACAUAUUAAGAAGCAUCAGGUCAGGGACAACACAGCAGAGUGGCAGCUGAAAUCGUCAGAUAUCGUCUUGAUCUGCAACACAACCAGGACUACUUUGGGCAGGGACAGCAAGCCUAGAAGUCUUUCAAGCCUGGUACUCCGCAGUUGUGGGCCAAGACCUCAUGUCCUGCUAUGUUUAGGAGACAGGGAACAUUUUGAAGAUGCAUUCCUUAUAUCUACAAGGAUUUAUAAUGGAGAAGGAGAACUGACCCUCCUCCCCCAGCACAAUAAUAUUGCAGUGUAAGACCUUGGGGCUGAGACAGGGGGGUCCAGUGAAACUGUGGCCCUAUCUGGGGGAAGCCCCAAACAGGGCCCAACAGGCAGGAAAUCAAUCCACCCACAUUGCCAAGCAUCAACCAAAGGGACACCCACCAACUGCAACCACCCUGAAUGAGAGCUGAGUAUUGCCAGCAGACUACAGCCCAAUUGCACUGAGUUUGCAUUUCUAACCUUAAUUGGCAAAUCGUUCCACAGUAGUUUACCAAUUCUAGGUAUAAUUAGAAGGUCUGCAUCUUGUAAUCUUAAGUUACGUGUAGGUAUGUAUGGCUGGAUCAUUUCAGCAAGGAAUGUAGGAGAAAGUCCAUGUAUUGAUUUAUAGGUUAACAAUAGAACCUUAAAAUCAGCCCUAGCCUUAACAGGCAGCCAGUGUAAAGAGGUUAGUACUGGAGUAAUGCGUUCAUAUUUUUUUGUUCUAGUUAGGAUUCUAGCAGCCGUGUGCAGCACUUAUUGAAGUUGAGGCAAUAAAAGCAUGGAUUAGUUUUGAAGAUGAAAAUAAACAACUCUAUAUAUUUUACAUGUUCAUCAAAGAAGAGGUCAGCGUCAAGGGUAACGCAGAGGUUUCUUACAGUUUUUUUUGAUGCGACCAAUGCAGCCGUCGAGGUUCACAGUGAGAUCUGCCAACAAUCUCACUGUGGACCUUGGGUCCUAAAAUGAGCAUUUCUGUUUUUCUUGAGUUUAAAAGCAUGAAAUUCUGUCAUCCACUUCCUAAUAUCUGAAACGCAUGCUUCCAAAGUAGCUAAUUUUGCUUCUCCAUGCUAAAUAACUGUGUUUUCACAGCCUAUACCUCUGGGAUCACCCGAUCAACUUACCUCCUGUUUAUUCAUCAGACCUCACUUUUAAUCGGGUGACGGCGCCAAUCGUCUUUGGUUAUUUCACACUUGCCCUAGGAUCUUUUUAGUUCGAUUUUACAUCUUUGGAGGGAUUACACCAAACUCAGUUUACCAGGCACCGGAAUGUAGCGUAAGGCGAAACUUGACUUACUGCAAGGUCAGUUAACUUCCACCCUGGCAUAUGAUAUGCGUCCUGAGUCUGGAACGCUCCUAAAGAUCAAUCCUCCGAUGGAGGAACUUUUUAUGUUUCAACCUGGCCGUUCCUAAGGCUCAACAAUAUUUAUAGUUGUGCUUAUUUAGAACCGGUUCACUCACCGAGCCUGAGGUACUGAGAGAGAGGCAGCAUAUAUAGUGAGAACAAUAAUGGGCCCAGAACCGAGCCUUGAAGAACACUAAAAUAUACCUUUAAUUUGUCAGGGGAUAUGCCAUCAACACAAACGAACAGAAAUCUUUCAGAUAAAUAAGAUUAAAACUAGGCUAGAACAUGUCCACAUAGCCCAAUAUGGGUUUCCAGUCUCUCUAAGAGAAGGGAGUGAUCAAUAGUGUCAAAGGCAGCACUAAGAUCAAGAAGCAACAGGACGAAGCAUCAACAACCUAUAAUUUUUUAAUAUUUCUGGAUCCAGAUUAGAUUAUUUUAGAAGAGGCUUAAUUUCCACAAUUUGUGAGUUUGGUAUACAUACGGAGGAAAGUGAGUGGCUGUCCGCCACCAGAAAACCUUCGCUGACCGCCACCGCAGGGAGGCCCUGAUGUAUCGUCCGGGCGACCGGGUAUGGCUCUCGACCAAGGACCUGCCCAUCCGCCUGCCCUGCUGGAACCUGGGCCCGCGGCCAGUGGUGUCUGGUCCCCUUCAGGGGUGUGAGGUACGGGAGGUCCCCUCCCACUCUGGAAAUUGAGGGGGCCCCGGCGUACUCCAUCCUCUCCAUCAUCAACUCAAGGCGCCGGGCGGGGGGCCUCCAGUACCUCGUAGAGUGGGAGGGGUAUGGCCCGGAGGAAUGGAGCUGGGUCCCUGUGAAGGAGGUCCUGGCUUCCGCCCUCCUGCACGACUUCCGUCGCCCGGAUCACCCUGUUCCGCGUCCCCCGGGGCCGGUGUUGUCAGAGGGGGGGGUACUGUGAUGACGGCGCCCUCUGCUGCCUCUCCUCCCCCUGCAGCAGGCAGGCUCCAGCGGUCGACGUCACCGGGCUUCUAACACCACCGCCCAUCUCCUUCAUUCCUCAUUUUAAUCAUUCCCCCCAGUAUAUAUGUUCCCUCUGCUUCCUCUGUCUUUGUGUGUUAUUGUCUUGCCUGCUAAGAGCAUUGUUGGGCUACGCCAUUUUUUACCUAUUAAAUAACUGUCAAUAAUACAACUUCGUCUUCCUGCUCCUCUUUUCCACUUGAGCCUGACAUAAUAUCUAAAACAUUACAGCAGCACAAGUGAUUAAAG
Long non-coding RNA from Esox lucius (northern pike), 5554 nucleotides. The record is from Ensembl. Lineage: Eukaryota; Metazoa; Chordata; Actinopteri; Esociformes; Esocidae.